UGCGCAGAUAUCAGUAGGAACACCGAUGGAAAGGGCAGAUCUCUCGCCAGUAACUUGAUCGCUGAGGAGCGAAGGGGUGGAGAGCAAACAGAUUAAGAUAUCUUUGGUAGUCCACCCUGUAAACGGUGGGAACUAGUUGUGGGGACCAUUCCACGGUUUCCGUGACGCAGCUAACGCAAUAUGUUCCCCGCCUGGGGAGUACGGCCGCAAGGCUAAAACUCAAAGGAAUUGACGGGGACCCGCACAAGCGGCGGAGCAUGCGGAUUAAUACGAUGCGACGCGAAGAACCCUACCAAGCCUUGACAUACACCAGAACACCGUAGAAAUACGGGACUCUUUGGACACUGGUGAACAGGUGGUGCAUGGUUGUGGUCAGCUCCUGUCGUGAGAUGUUGGGUUAAGUCCCGCAACGAGCGCAACCCUCCUUCUAUGUUGCCAGCACGUAAUGGUGGGAACUCAUGGGAUACCGCCGGGGUUAAAUCGGAGGAAGGUGGGGAUGACGUCAAAUCAUCAUGCCCCUUAUGUCUUGGGGUUCACGCAUGCUACAAUGGCCGGUACAAAGGGCUGCAAUACCGUGAGGUGGAGCGAAUCCCAAAAAGCCGGUCCCAGUUCGGAUUGAGGUUUGCAACUCGACCUCAUGAAGUUGGAGUCGCUAGUAAUCGCAGAUCAGCAACGCUGCGGUGAAUACGUUCCCGGGUUUUGUACACGCCGCCCGUCAAGUCAUGAAAGUCGGUAACACCUGAAGCCGGUGGCCUAACCCUUGCGGAGGAAGCCGUCGAAGGUCGCCCCUAAAUUCACCUCCAGCUUAGAGCUAGUCAUCACCAGAUCCUU
This 831-nucleotide ribosomal RNA is filed under the name Microbacterium sp. Ma68. RNAcentral's name for it is "bacterial SSU rRNA". It matches the Rfam family "Bacterial small subunit ribosomal RNA", at positions 687 to 1533 of the family's 1533-position model. Lineage: Bacteria; Bacillati; Actinomycetota; Actinomycetes; Micrococcales; Microbacteriaceae. The record is from RNAcentral.